AACUUUCAACAACGGAUCUCUUGGUUCUGGCAUCGAAAAAAAACGCAGCGAAAUGCGAUAAGUAAUGUGAAUUGCAGAAUUCAGUGAAUCAUCGAAUCUUUGAACGCACAUUGCGCCCAUUACUAUUCUAGUGGGCAUGCCUAUUCGAGCGUCAUUU
Molecule: ribosomal RNA, 157 nt
Filed under: Jackrogersella multiformis
Lineage: Eukaryota; Fungi; Ascomycota; Sordariomycetes; Xylariales; Hypoxylaceae
Description: 5.8S ribosomal RNA
Rfam family: 5.8S ribosomal RNA
About the family: 5.8S ribosomal RNA (5.8S rRNA) is a component of the large subunit of the eukaryotic ribosome.
Source: RNAcentral